Molecule: long non-coding RNA, 200 nt
Filed under: Ananas comosus (pineapple)
Lineage: Eukaryota; Viridiplantae; Streptophyta; Magnoliopsida; Poales; Bromeliaceae
Description: long non-coding RNA (ACOM_LNC020693)
Source: RNAcentral
AAUCUACAGCUACAAAUCACUACACUAUCAUGCUCUAUACUAACCAACUGUAGGAAAUGUCAAUUCUGACCCAAUCCAACUGGGACUGUAAGCAUACCCGUCCCUGGGACUGUGAACACACCCGUCCCGCCCGGUUGCGACUAUACAGCUACCUCCACACUAAGCGGUCCAUGGAGAGCAAGUCCAACAUGCACGAACGA